RNAcentral lists this ribosomal RNA (2742 nucleotides) under Triticum aestivum (bread wheat). RNAcentral's name for it is "partial small subunit ribosomal RNA". Lineage: Eukaryota; Viridiplantae; Streptophyta; Magnoliopsida; Poales; Poaceae. The record is from RNAcentral.
AUGGAUAUGGACUUUGGAGAUGCACGGAAAGAAUCCAUUGAGGACUAUGUUUGUACCCCUAGGGAUAUUACAGUCAUCGAAUCAAUCAAGUCUGCCCCCAAGAAUACCCAGUUCGUGGACAUUGGAGAUGCCUUGUUAUCAACCGACGAUUUGGAAUGCCUUAUGAAAGAUGAUAUGUUCUUACAUAACGGUGUGAUAAAUGCUUACAUAUAUUGCAUGCUUGCUGACGACCAUCUACAAGACAGAGCGGGUGAAAAGUUAUUCAUUCCGAUUAACAUGCCGAGCUACCAUUGGUAUCUAGCAGUCGCCAAUGCCAAAAAACGUGAGAUUCAAGUAUUGGACUCACUUGGUUCUCGGGUCAAACGCAAUGACCUUGCUACUACGUUACUAGGACUCGAGAAGUGUCUGAAACUUGUAGAGCAUAGACCGGAUUUUAUCAGAGGUCAUAAGUGGCCCGAUCUGAAUGUUACAAAAUGGACGGUUGUAGAGCAGUUUCAUGAGGCAAUACAAACCGAUGGCGUAUCAUGUGGAUUGUUUAUGCUAAAUUAUAUGGAAUACUGGACAUCACGUGCACUGUCAGACCAAUUCACCCAGGAGGAUAUGAAACAUUUUCGACAAAAAUUAGCUGUCAUUUUGCUCGAUUCAGAGCUGAAUAAGCUAAAAGGAGGUCCCAUAUACCAUCAACCUGACGAUCAAGAAAAUUUAGCUAAUUCUGAUCUCGAGAUACUGGACAAUCCAUCUGACGUAGUCAAAGACAAACGUCCUGCACCAAUCACUAUCAUACCCACGGACCAACGUGAAUUACUUGCCGGCCUCUGCAACUACAUCAUGUCGAUCGAUGAUGCCGGUUGUUUGGAGAAGGUAUGGGUCCGGAGCUCGACACCCGAUCCAAUGGGCUUAAGUCUUAAGAAACUUCAGUGCAUACUUAACAUAGAGCAGCCCAUGGACAAUGAUUGCUUCAACACAGCCGUGCGUAUGCUGGCAUGUGACGAGGGAGUAUUGUUCACAGACCCUCCUGUGCACUACAUGGAUCUACGGUUUUGUUCCAUGAUGCUAGAGUCAACACGAGGUCAGAAGUUUUGCGAGAAGAAAACUAUCCAGACGUUGGCAACAUUAUUUGAUAGCUGGCCUGGGAUGGACAAUGACAUCUCAUCGUGCAACAAGAAAAAAGCCCACCCUCCCUCGAUCCCCCAUCAUCCCCGAUCCCCCACUUCCCGCACCUCCCAUCCAAAAAAACCACCCCACCCCACCCGCUGCCCCGAUCCCCACCUUGACCUCGCUCGAUCCCCUCCCUCGAGUGCCGCCACCCUCGCUGGAUCUCGCCGCCAUGCACGCCUCCUCCCGCCGGCCAACCUACCCAAGGCGCCGCCGCCCCCCGACCUACCAGCGCGGGGUCGCUGGGCGCCGCCCACGCCACCGGGAACCUGCUGCCGCACUUCCGCCAUGGCCGCACGCUCCUCCGCGGCCCAAUCGUCGCCUCCGCCAGGGAUCCUCGAGCACCAUCAUCCUGGCAUGCAGAUCAUGGCCGCCUCCCCACGCAGUCCCCUUCUUGCUGCCGACGUGAAUCCUGUCAACCCCUUCCUCUUCUCCUUCUCUUCCUCCAGUGAUCUUUGCUGGAUUCUGCCGCCGUCAACACCAGGCAUCGGAACCCCGUCCCUGCACUCCAUCGCCGCGCCCUGUCUUCUUCUCGCUGCGGCUGCUCCACAUCGCGUCCGCCCGCCGUCGCGACGCCCCCAACUCGUCUGCUUUCCCCAACCCCUGCUGGUUGACCUUCUCACAAAGGCCACCUCGACCUUCUCGAGGAAGGUUACUUCCGAGGAUCCGGCUCGCAAGACCUAUCUGCCCAGCAAAAUGCUGCACUUUUGGUGCAAUACGGUCAAGAUGAACUCAACAAUCUCUGAGGCGAUGGCACAACCGGAAAGUAUGAGGAGUGGGACCGUGUGUAUCGCUAUGACUACUACAACGACCUCGGUGAGCCAGACAAGGGCCAUCCGCGCCCGGUUCUCGGCGGCACCCAUGAACUCCCCUAUCCCCGUCGUUGCAGAACUGGCCAACCCCCAUCAAAAACAGACCCUAGAUCGGAGAGCAGAAUUCCUCAGUACAAGAUACAGGAGGCCCUCAACAUCACUGUUCCGCGUGAUGGUAUUUAUGCAUGUUCCUAGUUGCUACGGCAAUGCUGGAUUUAAUCAUCCUAGGAGAGAAGAAGCAAAAAGACAAUCAAAGUGCUUGUCAGGCGUAGGAAGUUAUUUUACCCAAGACAACCCUAGCAGCCCUAGGGUUUGGCGAUCUUUGCCGUUUUGCGCUGGAAAGCGGCCGGUUCUCCUCCACGAAAGCGAGGAAAUCUUUGUUGCUUUGCUCGUAAAGCAAUCGUUCGUCGUCACGAAAGCACGAAGGUUAUCCUGGUGUUGCGCGGCGAUUUCGCGUGCCAACACAAUUGGCGACUCCGCUGGGGACGAGAAGAAGAAGAAGAGGUACACGAUGAGUACCGAGUCCAAGAACGGGAGCGACAUCGACCCGAAGAACGUCAUCGCCAUCACACUCGACGAUCUGUCGGAAGAUGUUCGGCGCGAGCUUGAAGAGGAGCUUGAGAAAGAAAAGGUUGAGAGGUUGAAGCUGAAGUUGGCUAGAUACGCGAAGACGAGGAACAGUGUCGUCAAAAAGGUAGUUCCGAGCCCUUCCGGUGCUCAGCUAGUAAAUAUGGUUCUGAUAUGGAAAAUACGACACGUACAAUUACUCGAGUAG